UACGUAGGGGGCAAGCGUUGUCCGGAUUUACUGGGCGUAAAGAGCGUGUAGGCGGCCAAGCAGGUCCGUUGUGAAAACUGGAGGCUUAACCUCCAGACGUCGACGGAAACCGCGUGGCUAGAGUCCGGAAGAGGAGAGUGGAAUUCCUGGUGUAGCGGUGAAAUGCGUAGAUAUCAAGAGGAACACCAGUGGCGAAGGCGAGUCCCUGGACAACACCUGACACUGAGGCACGAAAGCCGGGGGAGCAAACAGG
Molecule: ribosomal RNA, 253 nt
Filed under: uncultured bacterium
Lineage: Bacteria
Description: partial 16S ribosomal RNA
Rfam family: Bacterial small subunit ribosomal RNA
Source: RNAcentral